Octodon degus (degu) is the source of this 450-nucleotide non-coding RNA. The record is from the annotation of a RefSeq genome assembly. NCBI's taxonomy places the organism in Eukaryota, Metazoa, Chordata, Mammalia, Rodentia, Octodontidae.
UCCACCAUGGCCUGGACUCCUCUUCUCCUCCUCUUCCUCUCUCACUGCUCAGUUUCCCUGUCUCAGGCUGUGGUGACUCAGGAACCCUCCCUGUCUGCAUCUCCUGGAGCAUCUGCCAGACUUGCUUGCACCUUGAGAAGUGACAUCAGUGUUGGUGGUAAAAACUUAUACUGGUACCAGCAGAAGCCAGGGAGCCCUCCCAGGUUCCUCCUGUAUUACUACUCAGACUCAGAUAAGCAACUGGGCUCUGGCUUCCCCAACCGCUUCUCUGGCUCAAAGGACAAGUCAGCCAAUGCAGGUAUUUUGCAUAUUUCUGGGCUGCAGCCUGAGGAUGAAGCCGACUACUACUGUGCCAUCUGGCACAAUAGUGCUCUCACAGUGACACUCUCUGAUGGAGAAGUGGCACAAAAACCCAGCCUGCCCUGGCAAGCAGACUGUGAUGCCUUAUAA